RNAcentral lists this ribosomal RNA (1470 nucleotides) under uncultured Bordetella sp. RNAcentral describes it as "partial 16S-23S ribosomal RNA intergenic spacer". It matches the Rfam family "Bacterial small subunit ribosomal RNA". Lineage: Bacteria; Pseudomonadati; Pseudomonadota; Betaproteobacteria; Burkholderiales; Alcaligenaceae. The record is from RNAcentral.
AGUUCGAUCCUGCUCAGAUUGAACGCUGGCGGGAUGCUUUACACAUGCAAGUCGAACGGCAGCACGGACUUCUGGUCUGGCGGCGAGUGGCGAACGGGUGAGGCACGUAUCGGAACGUGCCUAGUAGCGGGGAUAACUACGCGAAAGGUAGCUAAUACGCAAGCACGCCCUUCGGGGGAAAGCGGGGGACCUUCGGGCCUCGCACUAGGAGCGUGGCCGAUAUCGGAUUAGCUAGUUGGUGGGGCAACGGCUCACCAAGGCGACGAUCCGUAGCUGGUUUGAGAGGACGACCAGCCACACUGGGACUGGAGAUGGCCCAGACUCCUACGGGAGGCAGCAGUGGGGGAAUUUUGACAAUGGGGAAACCUCGAUCCAGCCAUCUGGCGCGUGUGCGAUGAAGGCCUUCGCUGCCAAAAGCACUUUUGGCAGGAAAGAAAAACGCAUACGGGAUAAUACCCCGUGCAACUGACGGUACCUGCAGAAUAGGCACCGGCUAACUACGUGCCGCAGCUGUGGUAAUACGUAGGGUGCAAGUGUUGGUGACCGGAAUUACUGGGCGUGGCAAGCGCAGGCGGUUCGGAAAGAAAAGAUGAAAUCCCAGAGCUUAACUUUGAACUACUUAACUACUGAGCUGAGUGUGUCAGAGGGAGGUGGAAUUCGGUGUAGCAGUGAAUGCGUAGAUAUGUGAGGAACACCGAUGGCGAAGGCAGCCUCCAGAUAACACUGACGCUCAUGCACGAAAGCGUGGGGAGCAAACAGGAUUAGAUACCCUGGUAGUCCACGCCCAAACGAUGUCAACCAGCUGUUGGGGCCUUCGUACGGGUAGCGCAGCUUUCAACGCGUGAAGUUGACCUGCCUGAAGAGCAUGGCCGCAAGAUUAAAACUCAAAGGAAUUGACGGGACCCGCACAAGCGGUGGAUGAUGUGGAUUAAUUGAUGCAACGCGAAAACCUACCUACCCUUGCGUGAUGUCUGGAAUCCCGAAGAGAUUUUGGGAGUGUCGUAAGAGAACCGAACACAGGUGCUGCAUGAAGGUCGUCAGCUCGUGUCGUGAGAUGUUGUUAAGUCCCGCAACGAGCGCAAACCUCUUGUCAUUAGUUACGCUAGAAAGGGCACUCUAAUGAGACUGCCGGUGACAAACCGAGGAAGGUGGGGAUGACGUCAAGUCCUGCGGCCCUUGGUGGGUAGGGCUUCACACGUCAUACAAUGGCUACCGGACAGAGGUCGCCAACCAUGAGGGGGAGCCAAUCCCAGGAACUGAUCGUAGUCCGAUCGCAGUCUGCAACUCGACUGCGUGAAGUCGAAAUCGCUAGUAAUCGCGGAUCAGCAUGUCGCGGUGAAUAUUGUUCCCGGGCCUUGUACACACCGCCCGUCACACCAUGGGAGUGGGUUUUACCAGAAGUAGUUAGCCUAACCGUAAGGAGGGCGAUUACCACGAAUCCAUGAGGAAGUAGUCGCAAUGUAAGGUAGC